Long non-coding RNA from Cydia pomonella (codling moth), 442 nucleotides. RefSeq lists it as uncharacterized. The transcript has 3 exons. NCBI's taxonomy places the organism in Eukaryota, Metazoa, Arthropoda, Insecta, Lepidoptera, Tortricidae. The record is from RefSeq and is a predicted model, not a curated record.
UGUAUGUUUAUCAAACGGCGUGUACCAGCACUAUCUUCGCGAACAUCCCGACACGCCGUACCGGUUCGCGGUGAGACGGCACUAUCUGUGCGAGCAGUGCGGCAAGACUUCCAAGUCCCCGGGCUUGCUCCAGCAACACGGGCUCAUCCACCUCGGGCUGCGGCCCCCGGCCGCCAAGAAGCCCCCGGGCCGCAACUCGUGCCGCCUGUGCGGGAAAACGUACAGCAAGCUCAGCGGACUCUUUAGACACAAGCUGACACACCUAGGCGUCCGUCGGCACAAAUGUCAUAUCUGCGAGAAGGCGUUCACGGACACGUCUAACCUAAAGCAGCACGUGCAGGGCGUGCAUCUCAACAUACGAAGGAUAAGGAAGCGAUAAUACAGUGUUUGCAGGUGUAUGUUUUAUUGUACCAACUUGAAGCGAAAAUACAGUGUUUGCAGA